GAAAUGCGAUAAGUAGUGUCAAUUGCAGAAUUCAGUGAAUCAUCGAAUCUUUGAACGCACAUUGCGCCCCUUGGUAUUCCAUGGGGCAUGCCUGUUCGAGCGUCAUUUGUACCCUCAAGCUCUGCUUGGUGUUGGGUGUUUGUCCCGUCUCCGCGCGUGGACUCGCCCCAAAGUGAUUGGCAGCCGGCGUACUGGUCCCGGAGCGCAGCACAUGUCGCGCAAACGAGUGCCUUGGUACGGCGGCGUCCAUAAGCCCCUCUCUCACGCUCUUGACCUCGGAUCAGGUAGGGAUACCCGCUGAACUUAAGC
This 309-nucleotide unclassified non-coding RNA is filed under the name plant metagenome. Its description in RNAcentral is "partial contains 5.8S ribosomal RNA, internal transcribed spacer 2, and large subunit ribosomal RNA". The stretch from base 1 to 105 matches the Rfam family "5.8S ribosomal RNA", at positions 50 to 154 of the family's 154-position model. The record is from RNAcentral.